UACAGAGGUCUCAAGCGUUGUUCGGAUUCAUUGGGCGUAAAGAGCUCGUAGGCGGCUCGUCGCGUCGACCGUGAAAACCCGCAGCUUAACUGCGGGCUUGCGGUUGAUACGGGCGGGCUAGAGUUCGGUAGGGGAGACUGGAAUUCCUGGUGUAGCGGUGAAAUGCGCAGAUAUCAGGAGGAACACCGGUGGCGAAGGCGGGUCUCUGGGCCGAUACUGACGCUGAGGAGCGAAAGCGUGGGGAGCGAACAGG
RNAcentral lists this ribosomal RNA (253 nucleotides) under uncultured bacterium. RNAcentral describes it as "partial 16S ribosomal RNA". It matches the Rfam family "Bacterial small subunit ribosomal RNA", at positions 524 to 776 of the family's 1533-position model. The record is from RNAcentral.